UUGAGCGGAGAUAUAUGGAGCUUGCUUUAUAUAACUUAGCAGCGAACGGGUGAGUAACACGUAGAUAAUCUAUCCUAUACUGGGGGAUAGCCCGAUGAAAGUUGGAUUAAUACCGCAUAUAGCUAUAUAGUUGCAUGAUUAUGUAGUGAAAGAUUUAUUGGUAUAGGAGGAGUCUGCGGCACAUUAGCUAGUAGGUGAGGUAAAGGCUUACCUAGGCGACGAUGUGUAGCCGGUCUGAGAGGAUGAACGGCCACAAUGGAACUGAGACACGGUCCAUACUCCUACGGGAGGCAGCAGUGGGGAAUAUUGCACAAUGGGGGAAACCCUGAUGCAGCAACGCCGCGUGAGUGAAGAAGGUUUUCGGAUUGUAAAGCUCUGUUAGCAGGGAAGAGGAAGGACGGUACCUGCAGAGGAAGCCACGGCUAACUACGUGCCAGCAGCCGCGGUAAUACGUAGGUGGCAAGCGUUGUUCGGAAUAACUGGGCGUAAAGGAUGCGUAGGCGGUUAAACAAGUUAUAUGUUAAAUAUAUAGGCUUAACCUGUAGAAAGCAUAUAAAACUGUUUAACUAGAGUGCAGGAGAGGUAAGUGGAAUUCCUAGUGUAGCGGUGAAAUGCGUAGAGAUUAGGAAGAACACCAGUGGCGAAGGCGACUUACUGGACUGUAACUGACGCUGAGGCAUGAGAGCAUGGGGAGCAAACAGGAUUAGAUACCCUGGUAGUCCAUGCUGUAAACGAUGGGUACUAGGUGUGGGUUGUGAAUAACAAUUCGUGCCGUCGCAAACGCAAUAAGUACCCCG
This 797-nucleotide ribosomal RNA is filed under the name uncultured bacterium. Its description in RNAcentral is "bacterial SSU rRNA". It matches the Rfam family "Bacterial small subunit ribosomal RNA", at positions 62 to 871 of the family's 1533-position model. The record is from RNAcentral.